AACUUGAGUUUGUGUGGGUAAAAGACAAGUAGGACGACCUGCGGACGGCUCAUUAUAACAGUAAUAGUUUCUUUGGUUAGUAAAGUACAAGGAUAGCUUUGUGAAUGAUAAAGAUAAUACUUGAGACGAUCCAAUUUGUAUUAGUACAAAGUGGCCAAUUUAUGUAAGUAAAUUGAGAAAUGACAUUCUAAGUGAGUUAGGAUGCCACGACAAUUGUAGAACACACAGUGUUUAACAAGUAACCAAUGAGAUUUCUGAUCUAUCAAUCAGUUGGUAGUAUCGAGGACUACCAGAUUAUAAGGAUAACGAGGAAUUGGGGUCGACAUCGAAAGGGAGCUUACAGAUGCUACCACUCUAAGGAAGGAGCAGGCCUAAUUACCACUUCGAUUGAAAGUAGUGACGCCCUACUCUAAUUAGUAAAUCAUUCUGAAGAAGAUAGAGUAA
Molecule: ribosomal RNA, 444 nt
Filed under: Entamoeba sp. 1 PNS-2013
Lineage: Eukaryota; Evosea; Mastigamoebida; Endamoebidae
Description: SSU rRNA
Rfam family: Eukaryotic small subunit ribosomal RNA (bases 12-364)
Source: RNAcentral